GUGCUCGCUUCGGCAGCACAUAAACUAAAAUUGGAACGAUACAGAGAUUAGCAUGGUCCCUGUGCAAGGAUGACACGCAAACUCAUGAAGCAUUUCAUAUUUU
RNAcentral lists this small nuclear RNA (103 nucleotides) under Cervus elaphus hippelaphus. Lineage: Eukaryota; Metazoa; Chordata; Mammalia; Artiodactyla; Cervidae. The record is from RNAcentral.